CGCCCAGUUGAAGCUGAUGCUGCUGACAGUGGAAACCUUUUCUGGUCUAAGAAUGGUAAGCAGAAAUAACUAGCAUUUUUCCAACUCAGCACAUCUUACUUCAUCUCACUGAUGUCCCAAAUCAGCUGAGAUGGACCACAUGAACUUCAGCAAGAAGUGUGAAGUCCUGAACCUGUGACAGAACAAUUGCAUGCACCAGAAUGUGCUGAAGCCACCCAUCUGGAAAGCAGCUGACAGAAGCCACUGGGAGUCGUCAUCUUUGUGAGUUUGGAACUACUCUGUUUGUUUAUGUUGAUAAAAUUCACCAGGCUGUUCAAAAGAACAGUAAAAAUGGACAGAAGACUUGGAGGAAAAAAAAAAAAAAUUGGCUUAUAUUGAUGUCUUUUUUUUUUUAAAAAAAAAAAAAGGUGUUGAUUAAAAGAACUGGUUCCCA
RNAcentral lists this long non-coding RNA (433 nucleotides) under Phasianus colchicus (ring-necked pheasant). RNAcentral's name for it is "lncRNA (ENSPCLG00000019248.1)". Lineage: Eukaryota; Metazoa; Chordata; Aves; Galliformes; Phasianidae. The record is from RNAcentral.